Long non-coding RNA from Ornithorhynchus anatinus (platypus), 495 nucleotides. RefSeq lists it as uncharacterized. Lineage: Eukaryota; Metazoa; Chordata; Mammalia; Monotremata; Ornithorhynchidae. The transcript is spliced from 2 exons. The record is from RefSeq and is a predicted model, not a curated record.
UAGAGACAUGUUGAAUGUGGAAGGGGAGUGAGAACGUCACCAAGGUGGAAUGUUUCUGAGUCAGAAAGAAUGAUGACAUUAUUGACAGUGAUGGGAAAGUGUUUGUUAUUGUAGGCGAAUCCUGCUCCAGUCUGGUUGGUAGCGAUAAGAACCUCUUAAUCUGGCUUGGCGAUCUUUAUCAGUAUGGAGAUCAGGCCCCACCGCUUAUCAGGAAUUCACAUCUACUGUAGCUGAAAGCAGAACAAAAGGAAAAACAGGCCGGCAAAAAAGCUCGUGCAACUACCGGGAGACUUUUCACUUCCAAGUUCAUUUCGAAAAAGGAGAAAAAGUCUCAUAAACAUACACAGAGACACCAUCAGCCUAAAAAUCAAUCUCCCUUCUUAUCGGCUGGUCCCCAUCUGCAAAAGCCAGGACUGCAACUGCUCAAGGUUCGCUCACUCCGCCUAUGUGCCCGCACUCCAUGUUUGAAGUUAAUAAAUGUAAUAGGCUAUCUGG